GAUCCUGGCUCAGAAUCAACGCUGGCGGCGCGCUUAACACAUGCAAGUCGCACGAGAAAGGGAGCAAUCCUGAGUAAAGUGGCGUACGGGUGAGUAACACGUGGAUUAUCUACCUCUUUGUGGGGAAUAACUUUGGGAAACCGAAGCUAAUACCGCAUAAGCUCGUGAGAGGAAAGCAGCAAUGCGCAGAGAGAGGAGUCCGCGGUCGAUUAGCUAGUUGGCGGGGUAACGGCCCACCAAGGCUAUGAUCGAUAGCCGGCCUGAGAGGGCACACGGCCACACUGGCACUGAAACACGGGCCAGACUCCUACGGGAGGCAGCAGUGGGGAAUCUUGCACAAUGGGGGAAACCCUGAUGCAGCGACGCCGCGUGGGUGAUGAAGUCCUUCGGGAUGUAAAGCCCUUUCGACAGGAACGAUAAUGACGGUACCUGGAGAAGAAGCUGCGGCUAACUACGUGCCAGCAGCCGCGGUAAUACGUAGGCAGCAAGCGUUGUUCGGAGUUACUGGGCGUAAAGAGUAUGUAGGCGGUUGGGUAAGUUUGGUGUGAAAUCUCCCGGCUUAACUGGGAGGGUGCGCCGAAAACUGCCUGGCUCGAGUGCGGGAGAGGGGAGCGGAAUUCCUGGUGUAGCGGUGAAAUGCGUAGAUAUCAGGAGGAACACCUGCGGUGUAGACGGCUCCCUGGACCGUGA
This 690-nucleotide ribosomal RNA is filed under the name uncultured Acidobacteriota bacterium. Its description in RNAcentral is "bacterial SSU rRNA". It matches the Rfam family "Bacterial small subunit ribosomal RNA", at positions 15 to 739 of the family's 1533-position model. The record is from RNAcentral. Lineage: Bacteria; Pseudomonadati; Acidobacteriota.